CUCACUGUUCAAAUAAACCUACCAUUAAAAUUAUAGACUGAUCAUUUCUUUGUCAGUGGGCAAAUGUACAAAAUCAGCAGGGGAUCAAAUACUUUUUUCCCUCACUGUAAAAUGAACAGUAAACAUUACACUCACAAACGUUCCAAAGGAAUAGAGACAUUUCAAAUGUCAUAUUAUCUCUAUAUACAAUGGUGUAACGUGCAAAUAAGGAAAAUGUAAGUACAAAAGGGAAAAUAAAUAAACAUAAAUAUGUGUUUGUUCUUCACUGGUUGCCACUUCUUACGGCAACAGGUCACAAAUCUUGCUGCUGUGAUUGCACACUGUGGUAUUUCACGCAAUAGAUAUGGGAGUUUAUCAAAAUGGGGCAGUGUGCACAUAGCCUGUCUUCUCUUGAGAGCCAGGUCUGCCUACGGCGGCCUCUUUCAAUAGCAACGCUAUGCUCACUGAGUCUGUACAUAGUCAAUUCUUUCCUUAAUCUUGGGUCAGUCACAGUGGUCAGGUGUUCUGGCACUGUGUACUCUCUGCUUAGCGCCAAAUAGCAUUCUAGUUUACUCAGUUUUUUUGUUAAUUCUUUCCAAUGUGUCAAGUAAUUAUCUUUUUGUUUUCUCAUGAUAUGGUUGUGUCUAAUCGUGUUGCUGUCUCUCUCUCUCUCUCUCUCUGCCCCUCUCUCUCUGUCCCUCUCUCUCUUCCUCUCUCUCUGCCCCUCCUCUCUCUGUCCCUCUCUCUCUGUUAUUGCCUCUCUCUCUCUCUCUCUCUCUCUCUCUCUCAAUUCAAUUCAAAGGGCCUGUGUCCCUCUCUGCCCCUCCUCUCUCUGUCCCGAUUUCUCUCUGUCCCUCUCUCUCAGCCCCUCCUCUCUCUGUCUCUCUCUUCGUCCCUCUCUCUCUGCCCCUCUCUCUCUGCCCCUCUCUCUCAAUGUCCCGCCUCUCUCUGUUCCUCUCUCUCUCUGUCUCUCUCUCUGCCCCUCCUCUCUCUGUCUCUCUCUCUGUCCUUCUCUCUCUGUCCCGUUUUCUCUCGGUCCCGCUUUCUCUCGGUCCCUCUCUCUGUCUCUCUCUCUGUCCCUCUUCUCUUUGUCCCUCUCUCUCUCUGUCCCUCUCUCUCUGCCACUCAUCUCUCUGUGCCUCUAUCUCUCUGUCCCUCUCUCUCUCUCUCUCUCUCUCUCUCUGUCCCUCUCUCUCGCUGCCCCAUCUCUCUUUGCUCAUCUUUCUCUCUGUCCCUCUCUCUACCCCUCCUGUCUCUGUGUAUCUCUCUCUCUGCCCCUCCUGUCUCUGUCCCUCUCUCUCUCUGUGUCCCUCUCUCUCUCUACCCCUCCUCUCUCUGCUCCUCCCCUCUCUGUCCCUCUCUCUCUGCCCCCCUCUCUCUGCCCCUCCCCUCUCUGCCCCCCUCUCUCCAUCGAUGCCAUUAAUGUCACACAGUCGUGUCAAUAAGGGUUUCAUCUCAUUUCCAGAUGCCGACCUACAAUAGAUCAUUGUGUUAAAGUUACAGGAAGUGGUGAUUCUACACGUGCAGGUGGACCUCCUAUUUCUGCUCACUGGUUCCAGUAGGUUUACUGGUAGGUCAACGGAACAGCCACUUCCUGUUUCUCAGAACACCGCCACUACUUGUAACAGUUCCAGGACGUUUCACCACAUCGCCCGCCAGUAGACUCCUGGGGCCUGUACGGCACAAGCCUUGUGUUGCGUGUGAAACCAAGAAUGACCAUAGUCAAGAGAGUAUGAACUUUACAUAGCACCCUAUAAUCAUCUAACCUGGAGUGUUUAGUGGAACUAUCGUCUAUCUGGAACAAACCGUGAAUACAGUCUCUAACUAUUGUCUAUCUGUGCUGACUCCUCACCUCUGUUUCUGGAACAAACCGUGAAUACAGUCUCUAACUAUCGUCUAUCUGUGCUGACUCCUCACCUCUGUUUCUGGAACAAACCGUGAAUACAGUCUCUAACUAUCGUCUAUCUGUGCUGACUCCUCACCUCUGUUUCUGGAACAAACCGUGAAUACAGUCUCUAACUAUCGUCUAUCUGUGCUGACUCCUCACCUCUGUUUCUGGAACAAUCUAUGAAUACAGUCUCUAACUAUCGUCUGUCUGUGCUGACUCCUCACCUCUGUUUCUGGAACAAUCUAUGAAUGCAGUCUCUAACUAUUGUCUGUCUGUGCUGACUCCUCACCUCUGUUUCUGGAACAAACUGUGAAUACAGUCUCAGUUAAAGCGUGAACAUUGCCUU
RNAcentral lists this long non-coding RNA (2213 nucleotides) under Salmo salar (Atlantic salmon). RNAcentral describes it as "lncRNA (ENSSSAG00000111100.1)". Lineage: Eukaryota; Metazoa; Chordata; Actinopteri; Salmoniformes; Salmonidae. The record is from RNAcentral.